UGAGGAAAUCGCAAAGGAGUCUGACACAGCUAUAGCGAGUGAGAGAAAGAGAACAGAGAGUGAAAAAAAUGGCUGAAUACGAAGAGAUAUACGAACAGAACGGAGAAGAAAAGGACCAUCAUAAUUCUCACCCUCAUACCGACUUUUCUCCGUCUCUGAACACUGAUCUCACUGAUUCCAAAUCUCAUUAUGGGUCUCGUGAUUAUGAUAGAGAAUCUUCCAGAAGCAGAGAAAAGGAACGAGAGAAAGGGAAAGAAAAGGAGAGAAAAAGAGAUAAGGGGAGGGACAGGGAUAGAGAGAGAAGCGGAGAUAGGGAGAGAAGCAGGGACAUGGAUAAGGAGAGAAGUGGAGAUAGGGAGAGAAGCAGGGACAUGGAUAAGGAGAGAAGUGGAGAUAGGGAGAGAAGCAGGGA
This 412-nucleotide long non-coding RNA is filed under the name Lupinus mutabilis. RNAcentral describes it as "partial ncRNA". The record is from RNAcentral. Lineage: Eukaryota; Viridiplantae; Streptophyta; Magnoliopsida; Fabales; Fabaceae.